Molecule: ribosomal RNA, 129 nt
Filed under: Campylobacter upsaliensis
Lineage: Bacteria; Pseudomonadati; Campylobacterota; Epsilonproteobacteria; Campylobacterales; Campylobacteraceae
Description: partial 23S ribosomal RNA
Rfam family: Bacterial large subunit ribosomal RNA
Source: RNAcentral
AAGCCAACUCUAAGAUGAAUCUUCUCUAAGCUCUCUAGAAGACUACUAGUUUGAUAGGCUGGGUGUGUAAUGGAUGAAAGUCCUUUAGCUGACCAGUACUAAUAGAGCGUUUGGCUUAUCUUAUAAAUA